GAUGAACGCUGGCGGCGUGCUUAACACAUGCAAGUCGAACGGAAAGGCCCAAGCUUGCUUGGGUACUCGAGUGGCGAACGGGUGAGUAACACGUGGGUGAUCUGCCCUGCACUUCGGGAUAAGCCUGGGAAACUGGGUCUAAUACCGGAUAGGACGAUGGUUUGGAUGCCAUUGUGGAAAGUUUUUUCGGUGUGGGAUGAGCUCGCGGCCUAUCAGCUUGUUGGUGGGGUAAUGGCCUACCAAGGCGUCGACGGGUAGCCGGCCUGAGAGGGUGUACGGCCACAUUGGGACUGAGAUACGGCCCAGACUCCUACGGGAGGCAGCAGUGGGGAAUAUUGCACAAUGGGAGCAAGCCUGAUGCAGCGACGCCGCGUGGGGGAUGACGGCCUUCGGGUUGUAAACUCCUUUCGCUAGGGACGAAGCGUUUUUGUGACGGUACCUGGAGAAGAAGCACCGGCUAACUACGUG
RNAcentral lists this ribosomal RNA (468 nucleotides) under uncultured bacterium. RNAcentral's name for it is "partial 16S ribosomal RNA". It matches the Rfam family "Bacterial small subunit ribosomal RNA", at positions 28 to 507 of the family's 1533-position model. The record is from RNAcentral.